This 722-nucleotide unclassified non-coding RNA is filed under the name Leishmania donovani. RNAcentral describes it as "gene:unknown". The record is from RNAcentral. Lineage: Eukaryota; Euglenozoa; Kinetoplastea; Trypanosomatida; Trypanosomatidae.
GGGUUUGUUUCUCGCUCGCUCUUGCGCUUUCCGUGUGCGUCUUGCUGGCGCGCGCCCUCUUCGCUGAAGGACGCCGUGGAAAAGGAGUGAGGGCGGCGCCAACGGGAAAUCGCAGCGGCGUUUUCACGCACACACACACACACACACACACACACACACAGCUCUCAAUCACAGCAGCCACAGGAGAACGGAUUCGAAGGAGGAGAGGUGAUAGCACACCCACCCAGCCCCGUGCCCUCGCUGCUGGUGGCUUCCCCCAAACCCUCAUCUCCACCGCUAAUACAUACGAGUCCAUUUCCGUCUGAAAGCGAUCUCAGCAGACUUGCUCUUCCCCAUCGGAGUUUGCUUCUUUGUGUUGUUCGUCGCCCCCCUGGACGUGCUCUUCGAGUCACCUGUGUUGUGGCUUUUUUUUUGUGUGUGCGGUCGGCAUCGUCUUGUUGGUGGGAACCCAGUACACGCCACCCUGUGCGUUUUUUCUAUCUGUGUGUGUGUGCGUUCUGUUUCUACCCCCCUCCCCCUUCUCACCCAGUGAAACGCACACACACGCAUACACGCACGCGGCAUCCUACGACUCACUGAGUACGUCUCUCUCUUCCUUUCCUUCCCCUUUCCUCUUUUCCAAUCUUCUCAUCCUCUUUGUGUUUUCUGUUGUCGUUGCUCUCUUCCUUGAUUGCACACACACACACACACACACACACACACACACAUCCGUAUACAUACAG